GCGACACUAGCUCAGUUGGUAGAGCGCAAACCUUGCCAAAGGGUUUGAGGUCACGUAGUUUACGAAACCGUCGUGUGUCGCUCCA
This 85-nucleotide transfer RNA is filed under the name Vibrio cholerae. RNAcentral describes it as "tRNA-OTHER". The record is from RNAcentral. Lineage: Bacteria; Pseudomonadati; Pseudomonadota; Gammaproteobacteria; Vibrionales; Vibrionaceae.